Molecule: unclassified non-coding RNA, 363 nt
Filed under: uncultured bacterium
Lineage: Bacteria
Description: contains 16S-23S intergenic spacer region
Source: RNAcentral
UCCCCGUUGCCGGGGCAGUCUCAGUAGAAAAAUCCAACUACUGACAAGGGUUGCGCUCGUUGAUGGACUUAACCAAACAUCUCACGACACGAGCUGACGACGGCCAUGCAUCACCUGUCACCGAGUUCAAUAAAGCACUCUCGCCUUUCGGCAAAAUUCUCGGGAUUUCAAACCCUGGUAAGGUUCUUCGGUUAUCAUCGAAUUAAAGAACAUAAUCCACCGCUUGUGCGGGUCCCCGUCAAUUCCUUUAUGUUUUAGUCUUGCGACCGUACUCCACAGGCGGGAUACUUAACGCGUUAGCUUCGCUACUGGGGGGGUCGAUACCCCCAACAGCUAGUAUCCAUCGUUUACGGCGUGGACUAC